This is a long non-coding RNA of Gallus gallus (chicken), 1289 nucleotides long. Lineage: Eukaryota; Metazoa; Chordata; Aves; Galliformes; Phasianidae. The record is from Ensembl.
CCCAACCUUGUGCCGUGCACUGCCACAUCCGGGCGCCUCCGUCCCCCAAAUCCUGCCCUUCCAAUGGAAUGAUUUGCAGUGGGACGAAGCGCUCGGCUGCUCCGAGCCCAACGCCUGCAAAACCAGUUGAGAUGUGCGCGUGUAGGAGCGGGUUUACAAGUACCCCAAGCACCCAGAUAAGGGAUUGCUGCUUCAGCCCCCAAUUCCCAGGGCCGGAUCGGCCUCGUGGGUGGUUUUGGGGCACUGGGGAUGAGGACCAAUCCUUUGCCUGGCGUUGGGGUGGUUGUUUCCCAGGUGUGUGGUUGGGGAGCACAGCGGGAUGCUGUCUGCUUCUCCAGGGCGCCUUUGCUCCGUGUUUCAUAUAGGGCUGGGGGGAGACACAGCAUAGUGACAUAAAUAGGGAGGGAGAAGGAGGAAAAGAAGGAAAAGGGCCGUGCGGUGGCUGUGGCACUGCAGCUGGGGACGCCUGGUCCCCAUGGGAUGCUGCUGCUUGUGUAGGGUUUUCCUGUAUGUAUAGGGUGUACGUAUGUAUGGAUCUGUGGGGCUGCUGGACCGAAUUGCAUGGCAGGUCUGUGGGUCUGCUGGGUACGGGGCUUGCUGGAUAUGAGUUGGUUGAGUAUAUAGGGUUGCUGGUUGUGUAGGGUUGCGGGUGACGCAGUUCUGUAGGGUUGCAGACUGCUGAUGGUUGCUGGUCGAGAUGUGCUGAGGAUACAGGGGUGGAAGGGAUGUAGGAGCGUUGGAUGUGUAGGGCUGCAGAUCACGUGGUGUUGGUCAGUAUGUGGGGCUGCAGGAUCUGUAGGGCCGUGGGAUAUAUGGGGCUGUGGGAUGUAUGGGCAGGGGGAUACGGGUUGUGGGAUGCACGGGGGUGUGGGGUGCACAGAGGUGUGGGUUGUACAGGGCUGGGGGAUGUAUGGGCUGGGGGGUAUAAAGGACUGCAGGAUGUAUGGAUUAUGGGAUGUACAGGGUUGUGAGAUGCACAGACUGUGGGAUGUGUGGAGCAGGGUGAUGCAUGGGCUGUGGGAUGUACAGGGCUGUGGGAUCUAUGGAUUAUGGGAUGCACACAGCUGUGGGAUGUGUGGGUUAUGGGAUGUAUGGGGCUGCGGGAUGCAUGGGGCUGUGAGAUGUAUGGGUUAUGGGAUGUAAGGGUUAUGGGAUGUAUGGAUGCACAGGGUUAUGGGAUGCACGGGUUAUGGGAUGUAAGGGUUAUGGGAUGCACGGACUGUGGAUGGAUGGAUGGCGCUGGGAGAUGCACGAGACGCACGGAGCCGUGGGGCGCUGAGGCUGCGGGC